RNAcentral lists this ribosomal RNA (253 nucleotides) under uncultured bacterium. RNAcentral's name for it is "partial 16S ribosomal RNA". It matches the Rfam family "Archaeal small subunit ribosomal RNA", at positions 474 to 727 of the family's 1478-position model. The record is from RNAcentral.
UACCAGCACCCCGAGUGGUCGGGACAUUUAUUGGGCCUAAAGCAUCCGUAGCCGGUUCUACAAGUCUUCCGUUAAAUCCACCUGCUUAACAGAUGGGCUGCGGAAGAUACUAUAGAGCUAGGAGGCGGGAGAGGCAAGCGGUACUUAGUGGGUAGGGGUAAAAUCCGUUGAUCCAUUGAAGACCACCAGUGGCGAAGGCGGCUUGCCAGAACGCGCUCGACGGUGAGGGAUGAAAGCUGGGGGAGCAAACCGG